RNAcentral lists this ribosomal RNA (418 nucleotides) under Candidatus Williamhamiltonella defendens. RNAcentral describes it as "bacterial SSU rRNA". It matches the Rfam family "Bacterial small subunit ribosomal RNA", at positions 62 to 468 of the family's 1533-position model. The record is from RNAcentral. Lineage: Bacteria; Pseudomonadati; Pseudomonadota; Gammaproteobacteria; Enterobacterales; Enterobacteriaceae.
UCGAGCGGCAUCGAGUGAGCGCAGUUUACUGAGUUCAUGUCGGCGAGCGGCGGACGGGUGAGUAAAGUCUGGGAAUCUGGCCGAAGGAGGGGGAUAACUGCUGGAAACGGCAGCUAAUACCGCAUGAAGUCGCGAGACCAAAGUGGGGGACCUUCGGGCCUCACGCCUUCGGAUGAGCCCAGAUGAGAUUAGCUGGUAGGUAAGGUAAAGGCUUACCUAGGCGACGAUCUCUAGCGGGUCUGAGAGGAUAGCCCGCCACACUGGAACUGAGACACGGUCCAGACUCCUACGGGAGGCAGCAGUGGGGAAUAUUGCACAAUGGGCGAAAGCCUGAUGCAGCCAUGCCACGUGUGUGAAGAAGGCCUUCGGGUUGUAAAGCACUUUCAGCGAGGAGGAAGCGAUAAAUGCCAAUACCAUU